GAAAUGCGAUAAGUAGUGUGAAUUGCAGACAUCAGUGAAUCAUCGAAUUUUUGAACGCACAUUGCGCCCUUUGGUAUUCCGAAGGGCAUGCCUGUUCGAGCGUCAUUACACCCCUCAAGCUACGCUUGGUCAUGGGCGGUUUGUCUUGCUAAAAGACUCGCCUCAAAAGUAUCGGCUGCCGGCACAUCGACUGGGCGCACAGUACAUUGUGAUUGCCUAUCGGUGCUGUUGUGGAUGGCUGCUCCCAAAUCUAUCUUUGAAGUUGACCUCGGAUCAGGUAGGAAUACCCGCUGAACUUAA
RNAcentral lists this unclassified non-coding RNA (300 nucleotides) under uncultured Ascomycota. Its description in RNAcentral is "sequence contains ITS1". The stretch from base 1 to 105 matches the Rfam family "5.8S ribosomal RNA", at positions 50 to 154 of the family's 154-position model. Lineage: Eukaryota; Fungi; Ascomycota. The record is from RNAcentral.